AGUCGAACGAACUUCCGUUAAUUGAUUAUGACGUACUUGUACUGAUUGAGAUUUUAACACGAAGUGAGUGGCGAACGGGUGAGUAACACGUGGGUAACCUGCCCAGAAGUAGGGGAUAACACCUGGAAACAGAUGCUAAUACCGUAUAACAGAGAAAACCGCAUGGUUUUCUUUUAAAAGAUGGCUCUGCUAUCACUUCUGGAUGGACCCGCGGCGUAUUAGCUAGUUGGUGAGGUAAAGGCUCACCAAGGCAGUGAUACGUAGCCGACCUGAGAGGGUAAUCGGCCACAUUGGGACUGAGACACGGCCCAGACUCCUACGGGAGGCAGCAGUAGGGAAUCUUCCACAAUGGACGCAAGUCUGAUGGAGCAACGCCGCGUGAGUGAAGAAGGGUUUCGGCUCGUAAAGCUCUGUUGUUAAAGAAGAACGUGGGUAAGAGUAACUGUUUACCCAGUGACGGUAUUUAACCAGAAAGCCACGGCUAACUACGUGCCAGCAGCCGCGGUAAUACGUAGGUGGCAAGCGUUAUCCGGAUUUAUUGGGCGUAAAGCGAGCGCAGGCGGUCUUUUAAGUCUAAUGUGAAAGCCUUCGGCUCAACCGAAGAAGUGCAUUGGAAACUGGGAGACUUGAGUGCAGAAGAGGACAGUGGAACUCCAUGUGUAGCGGUGAAAUGCGUAGAUAUAUGGAAGAACACCAGUGGCGAAGGCGGCUGUCUGGUCUGCAACUGACGCUGAGGCUCGAAAGCAUGGGUAGCGAACAGGAUUAGAUACCCUGGUAGUCCAUGCCGUAAACGAUGAUUACUAAGUGUUGGAGGGUUUCCGCCCUUCAGUGCUGCAGCUAACGCAUUAAGUAAUCCGCCUGGGGAGUACGACCGCAAGGUUGAAACUCAAAAGAAUUGACGGGGGCCCGCACAAGCGGUGGAGCAUGUGGUUUAAUUCGAAGCUACGCGAAGAACCUUACCAGGUCUUGACAUCUUCUGACAGUCUAAGAGAUUAGAGGUUCCCUUCGGGGACAGAAUGACAGGUGGUGCAUGGUUGUCGUCAGCUCGUGUCGUGAGAUGUUGGGUUAAGUCCCGCAACGAGCGCAACCCUUAUUACUAGUUGCCAGCAUUAAGUUGGGCACUCUAGUGAGACUGCCGGUGACAAACCGGAGGAAGGUGGGGACGACGUCAAAUCAUCAUGCCCCUUAUGACCUGGGCUACACACGUGCUACAAUGGAUGGUACAACGAGUCGCGAGACCGCGAGGUUAAGCUAAUCUCUUAAAACCAUUCUCAGUUCGGACUGUAGGCUGCAACUCGCCUACACGAAGUCGGAAUCGCUAGUAAUCGCGGAUCAGCAUGCCGCGGUGAAUACGUUCCCGGGCCUUGUACACACCGCCCGUCACACCAUGAGAGUUUGUAACACCCAAAGCCGGUGGGGU
This 1420-nucleotide ribosomal RNA is filed under the name Pediococcus pentosaceus. RNAcentral's name for it is "bacterial SSU rRNA". It matches the Rfam family "Bacterial small subunit ribosomal RNA", at positions 60 to 1436 of the family's 1533-position model. Lineage: Bacteria; Bacillati; Bacillota; Bacilli; Lactobacillales; Lactobacillaceae. The record is from RNAcentral.